GCAAGAAGAAGUUGUACGUUUCUAACUACUAACGUUAGGUAGUAGUAGAAGCUCUCCUUUAUUAGUAGUGGAAUUUUGGACAAAUGGAGGACCGCAGCUAUUAUUUAGCACAAGAGCCGACGGAGGGUGAAUCUGCUUCGAAGAAGCGAAAGCAUGAUGAAGUCAGACUUAUACGGGAGCGACGCAGGCAGAAAUCACAGGUAAACAUCGGUGUGGCUUUUCCCAGAUGGAAGGGUCUAAUGAGGGAAAAAUGUUUUCAAAGCGACACCGAAGUUGCCUGUUUUCUGAUGGACAGCUACGAGACAGGUCCUGCAACAUCGACUCCCUUGAAGAGAAAACCUUUGCAAGUCCCAGCUCCAGCAUUGUCUAGCAUUGGUGCUUCUAGUGGAACAGACCGAGAUGAGCAUCUUGAUGUCAUUCCCGAAGCCACAGAAAUUCAGGGCCUCGAACAAAGGUAACAUGUACACAUCAUAACUUUUAGCCCUGUAUUGCUUUUCUCCAAAUGUUCAUAAUAUCUAUUUGUAAUAUGUUUUUUGCAGCUUACAUGACAUGAGCAUUGUUGAGGAGGACUUGGAGGAAAAUGUUUUCAAUGACCCAAUGAACAGUAGUAUUUCCUAAUUACAUGUAUUAUUUUUCCUUGAUAUUAUUUGAGAACUUGUUUUUAUCUGAAAGUUGUCAUUAUGUAAAGAAUUGAUUGGGCAGAUGAAGCUUCAUCUUACUCCCUUGAAAGAGAUGAUGGACAGAAUGGUUUCAGCUCUGAUGAAGAGGAUCUUCCACCGAUUUCUAUAUGAAUGGGUGGAGCACUGAAGAAAGCACACUCUAUCGAUGGACUUCCUUGCCUGCACAUGAAGACACUCCUGAUGAGCCUUCUCCCUGUGAUCAUGACCCUGUUUUCCCAGAACCACACAAUGUCCUUUGUGAAGAUGACGUACGGACAAGCUUACAUCAGAAAUAAAGCUAGUGGAGAUCUGCACAGAUGCUCAUGCCCAGAUUGGUGCACUUAUGAACCCAGACAAAGGCAAAUACAAGGCCCUUGGAAUUCAUCACUGUCUGGACAUAUGGCAUGGUGCGAAGAACCAUAGUCAACCAUUUUCUUGCAUUAUGGGUUGGCAUCCUUCACCAUGUCUCAACAUUCACACAUGGACUAUGGGAAGUUGCAAACACGGGCACCUUGAAUCAGAUCAAAUGCGGGGAAAGAUGUGGAUCCAGAGACUCCCAGUGCCACAAAGCUUUAGUGGAUAUAGUUCUCGAUAAGAGGUGGCAGAAAGAUGUUCACAACUAUCUGGGAUUCAGAUCGACUGCAGACCUAGAGUCAUUCCAGAAUCAUAUCCUGAUGUAUGCCAGCAAGCGCUUUGCUUUCAGCCCCCCAGUUUAUGAGGCAAGAGUUCUGCUUGCUGCUUUGUACUACAAUUUCCAUCUGAACCGACCAACAAUGAAAACGUUGGACGGCAAAGAGACUUUCAGAAGAUUGUAUAAGAAGAAUGGUAUGCCUUGAAAUCUGAAAAACCUACGGAUACAUUUCUGAGUUGCAAAGAAGGAUUGUGAAGUACAGACUCACAAGUGGAGUGGGGAUGCCUAGAAGGAGGAGCCUUCUCCCAGGUGACCCCAGACAGCUUGGUUUGGUGCCCCCCGUACCUGCACCAGCCACAUCAGACUUGUUGCAGAGACAAGUCAGAAGAGGUCUAGGACCGUUAUUCCAACCAGUAUCUGAUGUGGAAGGAUCCCCACAGGAGAUUCCUACCCUCCUACAGUGGUUAUUUCAUGUUUUUCCAAUUUGUACACGUUUCAUCUUAUUCUGCUAAGUCCACUGUGACCAGCGCAUAUUAUUUUCAGUAGGUAGCCUAAAUUACAGUUUACAAUUUGAACAGUAAUGAUAAGUAAGGCUACAGCUACAGUCCCCUAUUAUUAUGUAAAUAUAAAUAACUAAAAUAGGUAUUGGAAAUGUUAUGUAAGUUUGAAAUUCUAAACACAUGUUCAAAUGUAUAUAAUGAAAAUAAAAACAACAUGUGCUUCUA
Micropterus salmoides (largemouth bass) is the source of this 2015-nucleotide long non-coding RNA. RefSeq lists it as uncharacterized. The transcript is spliced from 9 exons. The record is from RefSeq and is a predicted model, not a curated record. NCBI's taxonomy places the organism in Eukaryota, Metazoa, Chordata, Actinopteri, Centrarchiformes, Centrarchidae.